AGGAUUAUAUACCCUGGGAGUCUACGCUGCAAACUAUGGACGCUAGUUGUUAUACGUAUCGACCCGUGUAGUAGCGAAGCUAACGCGUUAAGCAUCCCGCCUGUGGAGUACGAGCGCAAGCUUAAAACAUAAAGGAAUUGACGGGGACCCGCACAAGCGGUGGAGCGUGUUGUUUAAUUCGAUGAUAAGCGAAGAACCUUACCCAGGCUUGACAUCCUGCUAAUUUCUGCGAAAGCAGAGAGUGCCUUCGGGCCGCAGUGACAGGUGUUGCAUGGCCGUCGUCAGCUCGUGUCGUGAGAUGUAUGGUUAAGUCCAUCAACGAGCGCAACCCUUAUAGUUAGUUGAAUUUCUCUAGCUAGACUGCCCUGGUAACAGGGAGGAAGGAGGGGAUGAUGUCAGGUCAGUAUUACCCUUACGUCUGGGGCUACAAACACGCUACAAUGGCCGGUACAAAGGGCUGCCAACCCGCGAGGGGGAGCAAAUCCCAUCAAAGCCGGUCUCAGUUCGGAUAGCAGGCUGAAACUCGCCUGCUUGAAGCUGGAAUCGCUAGUAACGGUAGGUCAGCAUUACUACCGUGAAUACGUUCCCGGGUCUUGUACACACCGCCCGUCAAACCAUGAAAGUCGCCAAUAUCUGACGUGCUCACUUGUUGAGC
This 655-nucleotide ribosomal RNA is filed under the name uncultured bacterium. RNAcentral describes it as "bacterial SSU rRNA". It matches the Rfam family "Bacterial small subunit ribosomal RNA", at positions 774 to 1455 of the family's 1533-position model. The record is from RNAcentral.